RNAcentral lists this ribosomal RNA (497 nucleotides) under uncultured bacterium. RNAcentral's name for it is "partial 16S ribosomal RNA". It matches the Rfam family "Bacterial small subunit ribosomal RNA", at positions 28 to 507 of the family's 1533-position model. The record is from RNAcentral.
GAUGAACGCUGGCGGCGUGCCUAAUACAUGCAAGUCGAGCGAACGGACGAGAAGCUUGCUUCUCUGAUGUUAGCGGCGGACGGGUGAGUAACACGUGGAUAACCUACCUAUAAGACUGGGAUAACUUCGGGAAACCGGAGCUAAUACCGGAUAAUAUUUUGAACCGCAUGGUUCAAAAGUGAAAGACGCUCUUGCUGUCACUUAUAGAUGUAUCCGCGCUGCAUUAGCUAGUUGGUAAGGUAACGGCUUACCAAGGCAACGAUGCAUAGCCGACCUGAGAGGGUGUCCGGCAACACUGGAACUGGAACAGGGUCCAGACUCCUACGGGAGGCAGCAGUAGGGAAUCUUCGGCAAUGGGCGAAAGCCUGACGGAGCAACGCCGCGUGAGUGAUGAAGUUCUUCGGAUCGUAAAACUCUGUUAUUAGGGAAGAACAUAUGUGUAAGGAACUGUGCACAUCGUGACGGUACCUAAUCAGAAAGCCACGGCUAACUACGUG